RNAcentral lists this ribosomal RNA (504 nucleotides) under uncultured bacterium. RNAcentral's name for it is "partial 16S ribosomal RNA". It matches the Rfam family "Bacterial small subunit ribosomal RNA", at positions 28 to 506 of the family's 1533-position model. The record is from RNAcentral.
GACGAACGCUGGCGGCGUGUCUAAUACAUGCAAGUAGAACGCACAGUUUAUACCGUAGCUUGCUACACCAUAAACUGUGAGUUGCGAACGGGUGAGUAACGCGUAGGUAACCUGCCUGGUAGCGGGGGAUAACUAUUGGAAACGAUAGCUAAUACCGCAUAAUAUUAAUUAUUGCAUGAUAAUUGAUUGAAAGAUGCAAUUGCAUCACUACCAGAUGGACCUGCGUUGUAUUAGCUAGUAGGUGAGGUAACGGCUCACCUAGGCGACGAUACAUAGCCGACCUGAGAGGGUGAUCGGCCACACUGGGACUGAGACACGGCCCAGACUCCUACGGGAGGCAGCAGUAGGGAAUCUUCGGCAAUGGACGAAAGUCUGACCGAGCAACGCCGCGUGAGUGAAGAAGGUUUUCGGAUCGUAAAGCUCUGUUGUAAGAGAAGAACGGGUGUGAGAGUGGAAAGUUCACACUGUGACGGUAUCUUACCAGAAAGGGACGGCUAACUACGU